RNAcentral lists this ribosomal RNA (128 nucleotides) under Pteropus vampyrus (large flying fox). The record is from RNAcentral. Lineage: Eukaryota; Metazoa; Chordata; Mammalia; Chiroptera; Pteropodidae.
UCAGCCAGUCUUACCAUCCCAGACACUCCUUAUUCCUUCUGAUCUUAGCAGUCAAGCGGGUCAGGCAUGUUUAGUACUUGGAUGAGAGUUUCUGUGGAUUUUCAUCGAGGUAAGACAUAUUGCUAGAA